Molecule: long non-coding RNA, 424 nt
Filed under: Felis catus (domestic cat)
Lineage: Eukaryota; Metazoa; Chordata; Mammalia; Carnivora; Felidae
Description: lncRNA (ENSFCAG00000048403.1)
Source: RNAcentral
AUGACCCAGCCAUUCACGGGAUGGCCAGCCCAUCUCCAAUUCCAGAUGCCACAGCAAUGCCAGUGUCACGGCUGUAAGCAUGAGCGUCCCCAAGGAAAGGUCUGGGUCUCUGCUGAACUUUGCCGAUACACACGCUUUUACUCAAUCUUCUCGAAGAAGAGAAAUGAACCCAGAACCCAAGGCGGCUUCCUGGGAUGCCAAAGGACCGACGAGCUCUUGAGGGAGAGCCGAGAACGAUGCUUCCCAGCUGCGAUGCAGGACGGGAAGCUUGCAACACAGGCAGUCCUGGUGAGAUUCUGGGUUUUCCUCACCGGGAGCAGUGUUUGCUCUUUCGCAACAAGCAAUGUGCAGCGUCAGUAAUCAAUGGCAGCUCCCUGCCAACUCAGCUUGCUAAUAAAAGCUGCUCCCAUUUAUAGAAGGUGCA